AUCUUCUUCUUCUUCCUCCUUGUGUCUGUUUAUGCAACUCAACCUCUUCGUCCUCUUACCUUUCCUCGCAUUCUCAUCCUUGGCAGAAGAAUCAAAUCCCUCCCAACUCCAAAACAUGGCCACUCUCGGCUGAGUCCACGAAUCCCAUGCCUCCCAGAACAGCCUCGAAACUGAAGACCUCGCUUGCUUUGCCGUCCAAGACCACAACAACACGGAGAAUGCUCUGCUUGAGUUUGCUGGAACUCUGCACCAUCUGACGAUCGAGGCCAUCGAUGCCGGAAAGAAGAAGCUUUACGAAGCAAAAGUCUGGAUGAAGCCAUGGCCAUGGAUGGGCUUUAAGGAAGUGCAAGAGUUCAAGCACGCUGUAUCUUGCGUUGAGCUGAGAUAUGCAUGAACAUGGAAUGCACUCGAGUAGCUAUUAGAACUGGCUUUUCAAAAUCUGACGAGGAACAGAAGUAUGACA
This is a non-coding RNA of Prunus mume (Japanese apricot), 463 nucleotides long. Lineage: Eukaryota; Viridiplantae; Streptophyta; Magnoliopsida; Rosales; Rosaceae. The record is from RefSeq and is a predicted model, not a curated record.